RNAcentral lists this ribosomal RNA (253 nucleotides) under uncultured bacterium. Its description in RNAcentral is "partial 16S ribosomal RNA". It matches the Rfam family "Bacterial small subunit ribosomal RNA", at positions 524 to 776 of the family's 1533-position model. The record is from RNAcentral.
UACAGAGGGUGCAAGCGUUAAUCGGAAUUACUGGGCGUAAAGGGUGUGUAGGUGGUAAGGUAAGUUAGAUGUGAAAUCCCUGGGCUCAACCUGGGAACUGCGUUUAAAACUGCCUAACUAGAGUACUGUAGAGGGUUGCGGAAUUUCCGGUGUAGCGGUGAAAUGCGUAGAUAUCGGAAGGAACACCAGUGGCGAAGGCGGCAGCCUGGACAGAUACUGACACUGAGACACGAAAGCGUGGGUAGCAAACAGG